RNAcentral lists this ribosomal RNA (482 nucleotides) under uncultured bacterium. RNAcentral's name for it is "bacterial SSU rRNA". It matches the Rfam family "Bacterial small subunit ribosomal RNA", at positions 29 to 507 of the family's 1533-position model. The record is from RNAcentral.
AUUGAACGCUGGCGGCAUGCCUUACACAUGCAAGUCGAACGGUAACGCGGGGCAACCUGGCGACGAGUGGCGAACGGGUGAGUAAUGCAUCGGAACGUGCCCAGUAGUGGGGGAUAGCCCGGCGAAAGCCGGAUUAAUACCGCAUACGACCUACGGGUGAAAGCGGGGGACCGUAAGGCCUCGCGCUGUUGGAGCGGCCGAUGUCAGAUUAGGUAGUUGGUGGGGUAAAGGCCUACCAAGCCUUCGAUCUGUAGCUGGUCUGAGAGGACGACCAGCCACACUGGGACUGAGACACGGUCCAGACUCCUACGGGAGGCAGCAGUGGGGAAUUUUGGACAAUGGGCGCAAGCCUGAUCCAGCCAUGCCGCGUGAGUGAAGAAGGCCUUCGGGUUGUAAAGCUCUUUCGGCCGGGAAGAAAUCGCACAGGUUAAUACCCUGUGUGGAUGACGGUACCGGAAUAAGAAGCACCGGCUAACUACGUG